Molecule: ribosomal RNA, 403 nt
Filed under: Verrucomicrobiota bacterium
Lineage: Bacteria; Pseudomonadati; Verrucomicrobiota
Description: Verrucomicrobia bacterium partial 16S ribosomal RNA
Rfam family: Bacterial small subunit ribosomal RNA
Source: RNAcentral
UGGGGAAUAUUGGACAAUGGGCGCAAGCCUGAUCCAGCCAUGCCGCGUGAGUGAUGAAGGCCCUAGGGUUGUAAAGCUCUUUCACCGGUGAAGAUAAUGACGGUAACCGGAGAAGAAGCCCCGGCUAACUUCGUGCCAGCAGCCGCGGUAAUACGUAGGUCCCGAGCGUUGUCCGGAUUUAUUGGGCGUAAAGCGAGCGCAGGCGGUUAGAAAAGUCUGAAGUGAAAGGCAGUGGCUCAACCAUUGUAGGCUUUGGAAACUGUUUAACUUGAGUGCAGAAGGGGAGAGUGGAAUUCCAUGUGUAGCGAUGAAAUGCGUAGAUAUAUGGAGGAACACCGGUGGCGAAAGCGGCUCUCUGGUCUGUAACUGACGCUGAGGCUCGAAAGCGUGGGGAGCGAACAGG